This 606-nucleotide ribosomal RNA is filed under the name Myctophum punctatum (spotted lanternfish). Its description in RNAcentral is "partial 16S ribosomal RNA". It matches the Rfam family "Bacterial large subunit ribosomal RNA", at positions 1815 to 2626 of the family's 2925-position model. The record is from RNAcentral. Lineage: Eukaryota; Metazoa; Chordata; Actinopteri; Myctophiformes; Myctophidae.
AUCACCUCUUGCAAAACGAACGAAUAAGAGGCCCCGCCUGCCCAGUGACUAUACGUUAAACGGCCGCGGUAUUUUGACCGUGCAAAGGUAGCGCAAUAAAUUGUCCCUUAAUUGGGGACUAGUAUGAAUGGCAUCACGAAGGCUUAGCUGUCUCCCCUUUAAAGUCAAUGAAAUUGAUCUCCCCGUGCAGAAGCGGGGAUACGCUCGUAAGACGAGAAGACCCUAUGGAGCUUAAGAUACAAAGCAACCCAUGUUAUAUACCCAUAAAAUGGAAACAACAAAAUGAACCUUGCUGGAAUAUCUUCGGUUGGGGCGACCACGGGGAAAGACAAAACCCCCAAAUGGACCGGGGCUACUCAGCCCUAAAACAUAGACCCACAGGUCAAAUCACCAGUAUUUCUGACCACUAAAGACCCGGCAUAAGCCGAUCAAUGGACCAAGUUACCCUAGGGAUAACAGCGCAAUCCCCUCCAAGAGCCCUCAUCGACGAGGGGGUUUACGACCUCGAUGUUGGAUCAGGACAUCCUAAUGGUGCAGCCGCUAUUAAGGGUUCGUUUGUUCAACGAUUAAUAGUCCUACGCGAUCUGAGUUCAGACCGGAGUAAUC